Molecule: long non-coding RNA, 390 nt
Filed under: Gadus morhua (Atlantic cod)
Lineage: Eukaryota; Metazoa; Chordata; Actinopteri; Gadiformes; Gadidae
Description: lncRNA (ENSGMOG00000029278.1)
Source: RNAcentral
GAGUUGAAAUACGACACGGCCCUUCGGCUGGCGGCGCUGCAGAUGUACAUCCUCACGAUCAGCACCAAGCAGUCACAGAAGGUUUCCCUCAAGUUCAUCGACUGACAGCGUUGCAAGCCCAGGUCCACUAUCUCAAGUACCUCAGAGACUUGAGACUAUACGAGGAUGGGUCUUCAAAUUCAUCUUUGUGCAAGGCGAGAAGCACACGGAGGUGACCCUUCUGAUAGGACAGCGCUACGGCAUCAGCCACGUCAUCAACCCCAAGACCAACCUGGGUGGCUCUGCUGGCUGACUUCAGCCACGUCAACGCAUCGAAUGUACUCAGAGGACGAGAAGAUGGUGCGGGUGGAGCUCCAUAUUCUGGUCGUGACGGUGAACGGAUUCCUUUAG